Molecule: long non-coding RNA, 436 nt
Organism: Rattus rattus (black rat)
Lineage: Eukaryota; Metazoa; Chordata; Mammalia; Rodentia; Muridae
Exons: 3
Source: RefSeq, a predicted model, not a curated record
GGGAAAGAUGACAAUACUUUUUAGAAAUAGGAAAAAUGAUUCAUAAAGAGAGUACAUUACUCUGUUUUCUUUGACAGCAAGAAUCAUUUUUAUUCAUUGCUGUACUCCCUGACACAAGCACAGUGUUUAUGAACAAGUUAGUGACUGCAUUAGACGGCAUUAGGCAUGCUUCUGUGACAGGCAUCUCCAACUCUUCUGAAAGGCUCUGAGGAAGAAGAAACUGAAGGUUAGAGAAAUUGAAGAGCUUCUUCAACAUUAAAUGGAGAGCCAAGAAAUUGUUAAGAUAUCAGUUAACGAAGACCUUCCCUUCUUCCAUCUGUCAUUUAUAUAACAAAUAAAACCAUUGAUUUAGUUUUGGGGUCUUUUGGAUGGACUCACUGAAAAGAAGCAUUGAUUACCACACCCAAUGAUCCCAUUAAUCUCAAAAAUGCCAGAG